GUCUACGGCCAUACCACCCUGAACGCGCCCGAUCUCGUCUGAUCUCGGAAGCUAAGCAGGGUCGGGCCUGGUGAGUACUUGGAUGGGAGGAGCAAUUGUCAUUUGAGCAAUUGAGACG
RNAcentral lists this ribosomal RNA (118 nucleotides) under Mustela putorius furo (domestic ferret). The record is from RNAcentral. Lineage: Eukaryota; Metazoa; Chordata; Mammalia; Carnivora; Mustelidae.